RNAcentral lists this ribosomal RNA (253 nucleotides) under uncultured bacterium. RNAcentral describes it as "partial 16S ribosomal RNA". It matches the Rfam family "Bacterial small subunit ribosomal RNA", at positions 524 to 776 of the family's 1533-position model. The record is from RNAcentral.
UACGUAGGGUGCGAGCGUUAAUCGGAAUUACUGGGCGUAAAGCGUGCGCAGGCGGUGAUGUAAGUCAGAUGUGAAAUCCCCGGGCUCAACCUGGGAACUGCAUUUGUGACUGCAUCGCUGGAGUGCGGCAGAGGGGGAUGGAAUUCCGCGUGUAGCAGUGAAAUGCGUAGAUAUGCGGAGGAACACCGAUGGCGAAGGCAAUCCGCUGGGCCUGCACUGACGCUCAUGCACGAAAGCGUGGGGAGCAAACAGG